GGUUAAGCGACUAAGCGUACACGGUGGAUGCCCUGGCAGUCAGAGGCGAUGAAGGACGUGCUAAUCUGCGAUAAGCGUCGGUAAGGUGAUAUGAACCGUUAUAACCGGCGAUUUCCGAAUGGGGAAACCCAGUGUGUUUCGACACACUAUCAUUAACUGAAUCCAUAGGUUAAUGAGGCGAACCGGGGGAACUGAAACAUCUAAGUACCCCGAGGAAAAGAAAUCAACCGAGAUUCCCCCAGUAGCGGCGAGCGAACGGGGAGCAGCCCAGAGCCUGAAUCAGUGUGUGUGUUAGUGGAAGCGUCUGGAAAGGCGCGCGAUACAGGGUGACAGCCCCGUACACAAAAAUGCACAUGCUGUGAGCUCGAUGAGUAGGGCGGGACACGUGGUAUCCUGUCUGAAUAUGGGGGGACCAUCCUCCAAGGCUAAAUACUCCUGACUGACCGAUAGUGAACCAGUACCGUGAGGGAAAGGCGAAAAGAACCCCGGCGAGGGGAGUGAAAAAGAACCUGAAACCGUGUACGUACAAGCAGUGGGAGCACGCUUAGGCGUGUGACUGCGUACCUUUUGUAUAAUGGGUCAGCGACUUAUAUUCUGUAGCAAGGUUAACCGAAUAGGGGAGCCGAAGGGAAACCGAGUCUUAACUGGGCGUUAAGUUGCAGGGUAUAGACCCGAAACCCGGUGAUCUAGCCAUGGGCAGGUUGAAGGUUGGGUAACACUAACUGGAGGACCGAACCGACUAAUGUUGAAAAAUUAGCGGAUGACUUGUGGCUGGGGGUGAAAGGCCAAUCAAACCGGGAGAUAGCUGGUUCUCCCCGAAAGCUAUUUAGGUAGCGCCUCGUGAAUUCAUCUCCGGGGGUAGAGCACUGUUUCGGCAAGGGGGUCAUCCCGACUUACCAACCCGAUGCAAACUGCGAAUACCGGAGAAUGUUAUCACGGGAGACACACGGCGGGUGCUAACGUCCGUCGUGAAGAGGGAAACAACCCAGACCGCCAGCUAAGGUCCCAAAGUCAUGGUUAAGUGGGAAACGAUGUGGGAAGGCCCAGACAGCCAGGAUGUUGGCUUAGAAGCAGCCAUCAUUUAAAGAAAGCGUAAUAGCUCACUGGUCGAGUCGGCCUGCGCGGAAGAUGUAACGGGGCUAAACCAUGCACCGAAGCUGCGGCAGCGACACUAUGUGUUGUUGGGUAGGGGAGCGUUCUGUAAGCCUGUGAAGGUGUGCUGUGAGGCAUGCUGGAGGUAUCAGAAGUGCGAAUGCUGACAUAAGUAACGAUAAAGCGGGUGAAAAGCCCGCUCGCCGGAAGACCAAGGGUUCCUGUCCAACGUUAAUCGGGGCAGGGUGAGUCGACCCCUAAGGCGAGGCCGAAAGGCGUAGUCGAUGGGAAACAGGUUAAUAUUCCUGUACUUGGUGUUACUGCGAAGGGGGGACGGAGAAGGCUAUGUUGGCCGGGCGACGGUUGUCCCGGUUUAAGCGUGUAGGCUGGUUUUCCAGGCAAAUCCGGAAAAUCAAGGCUGAGGCGUGAUGACGAGGCACUACGGUGCUGAAGCAACAAAUGCCCUGCUUCCAGGAAAAGCCUCUAAGCAUCAGGUAACAUCAAAUCGUACCCCAAACCGACACAGGUGGUCAGGUAGAGAAUACCAAGGCGCUUGAGAGAACUCGGGUGAAGGAACUAGGCAAAAUGGUGCCGUAACUUCGGGAGAAGGCACGCUGAUAUGUAGGUGAAGUCCCUCGCGGAUGGAGCUGAAAUCAGUCGAAGAUACCAGCUGGCUGCAACUGUUUAUUAAAAACACAGCACUGUGCAAACACGAAAGUGGACGUAUACGGUGUGACGCCUGCCCGGUGCCGGAAGGUUAAUUGAUGGGGUUAGCCGCAAGGCGAAGCUCUUGAUCGAAGCCCCGGUAAACGGCGGCCGUAACUAUAACGGUCCUAAGGUAGCGAAAUUCCUUGUCGGGUAAGUUCCGACCUGCACGAAUGGCGUAAUGAUGGCCAGGCUGUCUCCACCCGAGACUCAGUGAAAUUGAACUCGCUGUGAAGAUGCAGUGUACCCGCGGCAAGACGGAAAGACCCCGUGAACCUUUACUAUAGCUUGACACUGAACAUUGAGCCUUGAUGUGUAGGAUAGGUGGGAGGCUUUGAAGUGUGGACGCCAGUCUGCAUGGAGCCGACCUUGAAAUACCACCCUUUAAUGUUUGAUGUUCUAACGUUGACCCGUAAUCCGGGUUGCGGACAGUGUCUGGUGGGUAGUUUGACUGGGGCGGUCUCCUCCUAAAGAGUAACGGAGGAGCACGAAGGUUGGCUAAUCCUGGUCGGACAUCAGGAGGUUAGUGCAAUGGCAUAAGCCAGCUUGACUGCGAGCGUGACGGCGCGAGCAGGUGCGAAAGCAGGUCAUAGUGAUCCGGUGGUUCUGAAUGGAAGGGCCAUCGCUCAACGGAUAAAAGGUACUCCGGGGAUAACAGGCUGAUACCGCCCAAGAGUUCAUAUCGACGGCGGUGUUUGGCACCUCGAUGUCGGCUCAUCACAUCCUGGGGCUGAAGUAGGUCCCAAGGGUAUGGCUGUUCGCCAUUUAAAGUGGUACGCGAGCUGGGUUUAGAACGUCGUGAGACAGUUCGGUCCCUAUCUGCCGUGGGCGCUGGAGAACUGAGGGGGGCUGCUCCUAGUACGAGAGGACCGGAGUGGACGCAUCACUGGUGUUCGGGUUGUCAUGCCAAUGGCACUGCCCGGUAGCUAAAUGCGGAAGAGAUAAGUGCUGAAAGCAUCUAAGCACGAAACUUGCC
This 2773-nucleotide ribosomal RNA is filed under the name Escherichia coli. RNAcentral describes it as "partial 23S ribosomal RNA". It matches the Rfam family "Bacterial large subunit ribosomal RNA". Lineage: Bacteria; Pseudomonadati; Pseudomonadota; Gammaproteobacteria; Enterobacterales; Enterobacteriaceae. The record is from RNAcentral.